GUGACGAUAGCUUAAUUGGCAAAGCGCGAGGUUGUGAUCCUCGAAGUUGUCGGUUCGACCCCGAUUCGUCACC
RNAcentral lists this transfer RNA (73 nucleotides) under Humisphaera borealis. RNAcentral describes it as "tRNA-His". It matches the Rfam family "tRNA". From Rfam's summary of the family: Transfer RNA (tRNA) molecules are approximately 80 nucleotides in length. Their secondary structure includes four short double-helical elements and three loops (D, anti-codon, and T loops). Lineage: Bacteria; Pseudomonadati; Planctomycetota; Phycisphaerae; Tepidisphaerales; Tepidisphaeraceae. The record is from RNAcentral.